GACGAACGCUGGCGGCGUGCUUAACACAUGCAAGUCGAACGGAAAGGCCCUGCUUUUGUGGGGUGCUCGAGUGGCGAACGGGUGAGUAACACGUGAGUAACCUGCCCUUGACUUUGGGAUAACUUCAGGAAACUGGGGCUAAUACCGGAUAGGAGCUCCUGCUGCAUGGUGGGGGUUGGAAAGUUUCGGCGGUUGGGGAUGGACUCGCGGCUUAUCAGCUUGUUGGUGGGGUAGUGGCUUACCAAGGCUUUGACGGGUAGCCGGCCUGAGUGGGUGAUCAGUCACAGGGGAAGAGAGGCACGGGACGGAGGCCUAAGGGAGGCGGCAGGGGGGAAGAUUGGACAAUGGGCGGAAGCCUGAUCCAGGAAUGCCGCGUGUGUGAAGAAGGUCUUCGGAGUGUAAAGCGCUUUAAGUUGGGAGGAAGGGCAGUAAGUUAAUACCUUGCUGUUUUGACGUUACCAACAGAAUAAGCACCGGCUAACUUCGUG
This 488-nucleotide ribosomal RNA is filed under the name uncultured bacterium. RNAcentral's name for it is "partial 16S ribosomal RNA". It matches the Rfam family "Bacterial small subunit ribosomal RNA", at positions 28 to 507 of the family's 1533-position model. The record is from RNAcentral.